CGUAGGUGGCGAGCGUUGUCCGGAAUUAUUGGGCGUAAAGCGCGCGUAGGUGGGAUAUUAAGUCUAUUCUAAAAACGUGGGGCUCAACCCUGUCGGUGCAUCUCAUACUGGCGUGCUAGAGGACAGCAGAGGCAAGUGGAAUUAGCAGUGUAGCAGUGAAAUGCGUAGAUAUUGCUAGGAACACCAAUGGCGAAGGCAGCUUGCUGGGCUACUCCUGACACUGAGGUACGAAAGCGUGGGGAGCGAACAGGAUUAGAUACCCUGGUAGUCCACGCCGUAAACGAUGCAUACUAGACGUAUGGGGUAUCGACCCCCUGUGCGUCGAAGCUAACGCGAUAAGUAUGCCGCCUGGGAAGUACGGCCGCAAGGCUA
RNAcentral lists this ribosomal RNA (372 nucleotides) under uncultured organism. Its description in RNAcentral is "bacterial SSU rRNA". It matches the Rfam family "Bacterial small subunit ribosomal RNA", at positions 526 to 896 of the family's 1533-position model. The record is from RNAcentral.